UAUAAGUCUGAUGUGAAAGCCUUCGGCUUAACCGGAGAAGUGCAUCGGAAACUGGAUAACUUGAGUGCAGAAGAGGGUAGUGGAACUCCAUGUGUAGCGGUGGAAUGCGUAGAUAUAUGGAAGAACACCAGUGGCGAAGGCGGCUACCUGGUCUGCAACUGACGCUGAGACUCGAAAGCAUGGGUAGCGAACAGGAUUAGAUACCCUGGUAGUCCAUGCCGUAAACGAUGAGUGCUAGGUGUUGGAGGGUUUCCGCCCUUCAGUGCCGGAGCUAACGCAUUAAGCACUCCGCCUGGGGAGUACGACCGCAAGGUUGAAACUCAAAGGAAUUGACGGGGGCCCGCACAAGCGGUGGAGCAUGUGGUUUAAUUCGAAGCUACGCGAAGAACCUUACCAGGUCUUGACAUCUUGCGCCAACCCUAGAGAUAGGGCGUUUCCUUCGGGAACGCAAUGACAGGUGGUGCAUGGUCGUCGUCAGCUCGUGUCGUGAGAUGUUGGGUUAAGUCCCGCAACGAGCGCAACCCUUGUUACUAGUUGCCAGCAUUAAGUUGGGCACUCUAGUGAGACUGCCGGUGACAAACCGGAGGAAGGUGGGGACGACGUCAGAUCAUCAUGCCCCUUAUGACCUGGGCUACACACGUGCUACAAUGGACGGUACAACGAGUCGCGAACUCGCGAGGGCAAGCAAAUCUCUUAAAACCGUUCUCAGUUCGGACUGCAGGCUGCAACUCGCCUGCACGAAGUCGGAAUCGCUAGUAAUCGCGGAUCAGCAUGCCGCGGUGAAUACGUUCCCGGGCCUUGUACACACCGCCCGUCACACCAUGAGAGUUUGUAACACCCAAAGUCGGUGGGGUAACCU
RNAcentral lists this ribosomal RNA (859 nucleotides) under Limosilactobacillus fermentum. RNAcentral describes it as "bacterial SSU rRNA". It matches the Rfam family "Bacterial small subunit ribosomal RNA", at positions 582 to 1441 of the family's 1533-position model. Lineage: Bacteria; Bacillati; Bacillota; Bacilli; Lactobacillales; Lactobacillaceae. The record is from RNAcentral.